This 253-nucleotide ribosomal RNA is filed under the name uncultured bacterium. RNAcentral's name for it is "partial 16S ribosomal RNA". It matches the Rfam family "Bacterial small subunit ribosomal RNA", at positions 524 to 776 of the family's 1533-position model. The record is from RNAcentral.
UACGGAGGGGGCUAGCGUUGUUCGGAAUUACUGGGCGUAAAGGGCGCGCAGGCGGCUCUGAAAGUCAGAUGUGAAAGCCCCGGGCUUAACCUGGGAAUUGCAUUUGAUACUCUGGAGCUUGAGUACGGGAGAGGAGAGUGGAAUUCCCAGUGUAGAGGUGAAAUUCGUAGAUAUUGGGAAGAACACCGGUGGCGAAGGCGGCUCUCUGGACCGUAACUGACGCUGAGGCGCGAAAGCGUGGGGAGCAAACAGG